AAUAAGCUAUUUAAGAGCGUAAGGUGGAUGCCUUGGCUCUCAGAGGCGAUGAAGGACGUGAUAAGCUGCGACAAGCUGCGGGGAUUGGCACACACAAUUUGAUCCGUAGAUUUCCGAAUGGGGCAACCCACUAUAUUGAAGAUAUAGUAUCCGUUAAGGAAGCAAACCCAGGGAACUGAAACAUCUAAGUACCUGGAGGAAUAGAAAACAAAAGUGAUUCCGCUAGUAGUGGCGAGCGAACGCGGAUCAGCCCAAACCAAAAUUGUUUCGGCAAUUUUGGGGUUGUA
RNAcentral lists this ribosomal RNA (287 nucleotides) under uncultured Flavobacteriaceae bacterium. RNAcentral describes it as "partial 23S ribosomal RNA". It matches the Rfam family "Bacterial large subunit ribosomal RNA", at positions 1 to 302 of the family's 2925-position model. The record is from RNAcentral. Lineage: Bacteria; Pseudomonadati; Bacteroidota; Flavobacteriia; Flavobacteriales; Flavobacteriaceae.